Molecule: long non-coding RNA, 913 nt
Organism: Ctenopharyngodon idella (grass carp)
Lineage: Eukaryota; Metazoa; Chordata; Actinopteri; Cypriniformes; Xenocyprididae
Exons: 5
Source: RefSeq, a predicted model, not a curated record
UUGGUUCUUCCUGGGCAACACAGAAAUUAUAGCAUGUGAGCUGUAACUAAACAGAACAGAAACUGAAAGAGAACCAGAUUCUGAAGGACAAAGAAGAAGCUGACUGACUCCUCAGGUCUUAUCAAGACAUUUUAACAUAAAGAAGUCCAUCUUUAAGAGCUGCAAUGAUUACGUGGAAUGAGACUGUGUUCUUACUAAGAGGAACCCACAAGAAUUUUGACCUGAUUGAGGAAAAUGAUACCGGCAUACCAUCACAGCUUAGAACUGGAGACCUUCUUAUGAGGAAAAUAUAUGCCUCUGGACCUUACCACGUUGGGAUUUACUGUGGAAAAUAUGUCCUUGAGUUUACAGCUCCUGAGAACUCGAAAUUUUGUGAUCGAAUCACAAGUUUUUCAUCAACCAAAGAGUCUGGCACGGUGGACAUGAAAAGUGUGAAGAACUUCAUUGGAAACAAGCCAUACCGUGUCCUCCGUCUGAGGAUGGCUAUUCCUCAGAAUUUCUCUGACUUGGUUGAUGCUCACAUGGAUUAUGAUGGGAUAUACAAUCCUUUGACAAAUAACUGUCUGCAUUUUGCACUCAGACUCCUGGGGCUGGAAUCAGGGCCGAUUCCAGAAAGAUUGCCACAGCAAAGAGAUGAGGAAAUCGGCAUGGAUGAUCUGGAAGAAAGAGCUGCUUUGACAGAUUCGCAAAACAUGCAACUGAAGUGAAUCUCACGCUUUGAAACUAGUGGAAAAUAAAACCUUGAAAAAUGAAUUAUAUUUGUAACAGAAUAUUAGUUCUGCUUAAAUAUUACUGCCUCAUAAGAAAUCCUAAUCCUGUCUGACUUAUGGAAUGUCAAAAAAAGUCAAAUGAUAAAUCAGCAUCAGCCUGUUAUUUUCUGUAAACAAAUAAACAACAAUUGUUUAAUAUUUAA